AGGCGGGUAGCUCAAAAGAAGAGUGCUGCGUUUACAUCGCAGAGGUUGGUUGUUCAAAUCAACCCCCGCCUACCA
This 75-nucleotide transfer RNA is filed under the name Candidatus Omnitrophota bacterium. RNAcentral's name for it is "tRNA-Val". It matches the Rfam family "tRNA". Rfam says of the family: Transfer RNA (tRNA) molecules are approximately 80 nucleotides in length. Their secondary structure includes four short double-helical elements and three loops (D, anti-codon, and T loops). Lineage: Bacteria; Pseudomonadati; Candidatus Omnitrophota. The record is from RNAcentral.